RNAcentral lists this microRNA precursor (99 nucleotides) under Chlorocebus sabaeus (green monkey). Its description in RNAcentral is "miRNA (ENSCSAG00000027749.1)". The record is from RNAcentral. Lineage: Eukaryota; Metazoa; Chordata; Mammalia; Primates; Cercopithecidae.
AUCUCCUGGGAUCAUGUUAAAGAUGCAGAUUCUGGUACACUAGGCCUGGGGUGGGUCCUGAGAUUCUGCAUUGCUAACAAGCUCUCAGGUGAUGCCAGU